AGCGAACGCUGGCGGCAGGCUUAACACAUGCAAGUCGAACGGUCCUUCGGGAUAGUGGCGGACGGGUGAGUAACACGUGGGAACGUACGCUUAGGGUCGGAACAACACAGGGAAACUUGUGCUAAUACCGGAUAAGCCCUCCGGGGGAAAGAUUUAUCGCCUUUGGAGCGGCCCGCGUCGGAUUAGCUGGUUGGUGAGGUAAUGGCUCACCAAGGCUCCGAGCAGUAGCUGGUCUGGGAGGAUGGCCAGCCACACUGGGACUGACACUCGGCCCAGACUCCUACGGGAGGCAGCAGUGGGGAAUCUUGCGCAAUGGGCGAAAGCCUGACGCAGCCAUGCCGCGUGGGUGAGGAAGGUCUUAGGAUUGUAAAAUCCUUUCACCGGGGACGAUAAUGACGGUACCCGGAGAAGAGGCCCCGGCUAACUUCGUGCCAGCCGCCGCCGUAA
RNAcentral lists this ribosomal RNA (447 nucleotides) under uncultured bacterium. RNAcentral's name for it is "partial 16S ribosomal RNA". It matches the Rfam family "Bacterial small subunit ribosomal RNA", at positions 29 to 523 of the family's 1533-position model. The record is from RNAcentral.